This 367-nucleotide ribosomal RNA is filed under the name uncultured organism. Its description in RNAcentral is "bacterial LSU rRNA". It matches the Rfam family "Bacterial large subunit ribosomal RNA", at positions 2099 to 2465 of the family's 2925-position model. The record is from RNAcentral.
CUUUACUGUAGCCUGGUAUUGGGUUCGGGCUUUGACUGCGCAGGAUAGGUGGGAGACUAUGAAGCUGCCCUUGUGGGGGCAGUGGAGUCAUCAGUGAGAUACCACUCUGUCAAGGCUAGAAUUCUAACCGUCUGCCGUUAUCCGGCGACGGAACAGUAUCAGGUGGGCAGUUUGACUGGGGCGGUCGCCUCCUAAAUGGUAACGGAGGCGCGCAAAGGUUCCCUCAGGCUGGUUGGAAAUCAGCCGAAGAGUGUAAAGGCAGAAGGGAGCUUGACUGCAAGAGCAACAAGUCAAACAGGGGCGAAAGCCGGCCUUAGUGAUCCGACGGUUCCGAGUGGAAGGGCCGUCGCUCAACGGAUAAAAGUUA